CGAGGUCCAUCUUGUAGCAAUACAAGUGAAGACCUAGUGGCGAACGGGUGAGGAACACGUGAGAAAUUUGCCCCGAACUUUGGGAUAACAGUUGGAAACGACUGCUAAUACCGAAUGCCGUUACGAAGUGGCAUCACUUUGUAACGAAAGAAUUUCGGUUCGGGAGAAUCUCGCGGCCUAUCAGCUUGUUGGUGAGGUAACGGCUCACCAAGGCUACGACGGGUAGCUGGUCUGAGAGGAUGAUCAGCCACACUGGGACUGAGACACGGCCCAGACUCCUACGGGAGGCAGCAGUGGGGAAUCUUGUGCAAUGGACGAAAGUCUGACACAGCCACGCCGCGUGCGGGAAGAAGGCCUUCGGGUUGUAAACCGCUUUCAGCAGGAACGAAAAUGACGGUACCUGCAGAAGAAGGAGCGGCCAACUACGUGCCAGCAGCCGCGGUGACACGUAGGCUCCAAGCGUUGUCCGGAUUUAUUGGGCGUAAAGAGCUCGUAGGCGGUUCAGCAAGUCGGGUGUGAAAACUCUGGGCUCAACCCAGAGCCUGCACCCGAAACUGCUGUGACUAGAGUUCGGUAGGGGAGUGGGGAAUUCCUAGUGUAGCGGUGAAAUGCGCAGAUAUUAGGAGGAACACCGAUGGCGAAGGCACCACUCUGGGCCGAAACUGACGCUGAGGAGCGAAAGCGUGGGUAGCAAACAGGAUUAGAUACCCUGGUAGUCCACGCCGUAAACGAUGGGCACUAGGUGUGGGUCUCUAACCAACGAGAUCCGCGCCGUCGCUAACGCAUUAAG
Molecule: ribosomal RNA, 790 nt
Filed under: actinobacterium SCGC AAA041-I06
Lineage: Bacteria; Bacillati; Actinomycetota; Actinomycetes
Description: bacterial SSU rRNA
Rfam family: Bacterial small subunit ribosomal RNA
Source: RNAcentral